UGGCUCCAGGCAAAGCUCAGAGGGGUGUCACACAGGUGCCACUCCACACACAUCAUGGGCAUUUGGUUCUGUGUUUUGUUUUCUUCCAGGUCUCACCAGUGCCAACACAUCCUGCUGCUGCACUGGCCCUCUUCACCUGAGCCCCUGCUUCAACAAGCGACAUGGCUUUGAUUUUAUUAUUCUGCUUCAGAAAUGCACUCAUUUUGGCCUUGAUGACAGAAGAAAUUGUGUUGCCUGCAUGCAAGAAGGUCCAGGACAAUUGCAUGGCUCAUAUUGUGAAGAUGAAAGCACUGCUUUUUCUGGUGCAUCCUUGCUUUGAUCUGCAAAGUGCUGAAAACUAAACCCUACUCAGCAAAAUGCUCCACGAUUGCUGGCUUGCUGGGGAUCUUUGGGACAGAGACAAAAAGGAAGGGAUUUUCUGAGGUGGCGCCAACUGAUUUCACUGCAUCCCACUGAAAUAAUUAUUCAAAUAUCUUCACUGGAAACAAGUGAAACCUUUCAUUUGGCAUUUUAUCGUUGAUUGUAUUAUGAUGCAUCAAAAUGGUGUAUGUCAAGGUGAUAUUUCAGCACGACAUUUUUAAACAUAAUUUUCUGCCAGCACAUACACGGUUCUUCCCCAAGAACUAAAACUGCAGGCCAGGUGCAUGCCAUAGGUAGUGGGUAUGACUAAAAUGACCUUACCUGAUUGAAGGCUGAAUGUGCAAGCUGAAGACAUUACUGCAGUGUUUGGGUGUAACAUUGCAAUAUUUAGAAAUAAAGAAGAUGAGACAGUCCUGUAAUCUCCCAGAAAGGGUGAAUAGCCUGUGGAAGCCUGUACGAAAGAAGCAUUUCCAGGGAAAGCACAUGAUGCCUACAAUCGUAAAGAUGCAGGAAGAGAAUGAGCAUUCAGUAGACAUCAAUCUCCACCUCUUGCAAGGAAUUAAACGGACUUUGGAUGGUAAGCCCAGCUCAGCCAGUGAUUAUGAUUGUUGACAAAAAGAUCCUGAAAGUUACUGGAACUGUAAUUAAAGCAUGGAGUUGGGAGGUAGAGGGCAGCGCCACACAGCACCAGCGCAUCGCUAGUGCUGUCACACCUUUGACAUCUAAUUGCCACUUAGUGGAUCACCAGCAUGGUGGUCUAAGUUAAGCAUGGAGAAUUGCGUGAGAAGCAGGCAGUUCUGAGCAUGGAUCAACACUAUUCACACCGAUCCAAACAAAUAGGAAAAGAAAAGGGCACAUGAGUGCAAUUCUGCUGAGUGCAACAGGAGUAUGAAAAAAUAUUUCUGUUCAGAAGAAGGCUUCCUACUGUGAAACCAGAACAAAACAAAAAACAAAACCCAAAACACUUGCUGUAGUGUUGUCAGGACUUUUGAAAAAUACAUUUCAAAUCUAUGGAAAAUAAGUAAUUUCAUUGUGUUCUAUUUCUUGAGAUAAUGCAAUGUAAUAACUGGAGAAAUGCAAGUUUCAUUUUGAUAUAUGCUUUCUUAGAAAUGUGCCCAACCACCUAAGUAGCAAUAUUUGCACUAAAUGAUGCAUACUUAAGACUGUAAUGUUUAACAGGAUAUCAUGAGGUGUUGUACCAGAAGGUGAAAUACAGCGAAAUAACAUUGGUUCUUUUAACAAAUCAAUUUAAACUGAAUUUCCAUAAACAUAAAACUGCCAACAUUAUUUUUAUGUAAUAUACUUAUUUUAGCAACCCAAUAUCUAGAUACAUAUGACAUGGAACAAUAAAAUUACUGGGGGAAAAACAUAUCGCAUUAGCUAAAAGUAAAAUGUUACUGCUAUCAUUAUUAUUGCUCUUAUUGUCAAUCAUUGCUAUCUGAUAUUGGGGAUGGAUGGCAAAUAAAGUGCAGACAGCAAUC
Long non-coding RNA from Columba livia (rock pigeon), 1841 nucleotides. RefSeq lists it as uncharacterized. Lineage: Eukaryota; Metazoa; Chordata; Aves; Columbiformes; Columbidae. The transcript has 4 exons. The record is from RefSeq and is a predicted model, not a curated record.